UACGUAGGGGGCAAGCGUUGUCCGGAUUUAUUGGGCGUAAAGCGCGUGUAGGCGGCCCGGCAGGUCCGUUGUGAAAACUCGAGGCUCAACCUCGAGAUGUCGAUGGAAACCGUCGGGCUAGAGUCCGGAAGAGGAGAGUGGAAUUCCCGGUGUAGCGGUGAAAUGCGCAGAUAUCGGGAAGAACACCCGUGGCGAAGGCGGCUCUCUGGGACGGUACUGACGCUGAGACGCGAAAGCGUGGGGAGCGAACAGGAUUAGAAACCCCCGUAGUCC
RNAcentral lists this ribosomal RNA (273 nucleotides) under uncultured bacterium. RNAcentral describes it as "partial 16S ribosomal RNA". It matches the Rfam family "Bacterial small subunit ribosomal RNA", at positions 524 to 796 of the family's 1533-position model. The record is from RNAcentral.